AGUGAACGCCGGCGGUAGGCCUAACACAUGCAAGUCGAACGGCAGCACCGUAAGAGCCUGCUCUUACGGGAGGCGAGUGGCGGACGGGUGAGGAAUACAUCGGAAUCUACUCUUUCGUGGGGGCUAACGUAGGGAAACUUACGCUAAUACCGCAUACGACCUACGGGUGAAAGCAGGGGAUCUUCGGACCUUGCGCGAUUGAAUGAGCCGAUGUCGGAUUAGCUAGUUGGCGGGGUAAAGGCCCAGCAAGGCGACGAUCCGUAGCCGGUCUGAGAGGAUGAUCAGCCCCCCUGGAACCUGGCCACCGUCCAGUCUCCUUCGAGAGGCAGCAGUGGGGAAUAUUGGACGAUGGGCGCAAGCCUGAUCCAGCCAUAGCGGACGGGUGAAGAAGGCCUUCGGGUUGUAAAGCCCUUUUGUUGGGAAAGAACAGCAGCAGGUUAAUACCCCGCUGUUCUGACGGUACCCAAAGAAUAGACACCGGCUAACUUCGUG
RNAcentral lists this ribosomal RNA (492 nucleotides) under uncultured bacterium. RNAcentral's name for it is "partial 16S ribosomal RNA". It matches the Rfam family "Bacterial small subunit ribosomal RNA", at positions 29 to 507 of the family's 1533-position model. The record is from RNAcentral.